RNAcentral lists this ribosomal RNA (164 nucleotides) under uncultured bacterium. RNAcentral's name for it is "partial 16S ribosomal RNA". It matches the Rfam family "Bacterial small subunit ribosomal RNA", at positions 355 to 511 of the family's 1533-position model. The record is from RNAcentral.
UAGGGAAUCUUCCACAAUGGGCGCAAGCCUGAUGGAGCAACACCGCGUGAGUGAAGAAGGGUUUCGGCUCGUAAAGCUCUGUUGUUAAAGAAGAACACGUAUGAGAGUAACUGUUCAUACGUUGACGGUAUUUAACCAGAAAGUCACGGCUAACUACGNGCCAG